UACGUAGGAUCCAAGCAUUAUCCGGAAUUACUGGGCGUAAAGAGUUGCGUAGGUGGCAUUGUAAGCGGGGCAUGAAAUCGUGUGGCUCAACCAUACGGCUAUGUUCUGAACUGCAAAGCUAGAGAGCGAGAGAGGUCACUGGAAUUCCAAGUGUAGGAGUGAAAUCCGUAGAUAUUUGGAGGAACACCGAUGGCGUAAGCAGGUGACUGGCUCGUUUCUGACACUCAGGCACGAAAGCGUGGGGAGCGAACGGG
RNAcentral lists this ribosomal RNA (254 nucleotides) under uncultured bacterium. RNAcentral describes it as "partial 16S ribosomal RNA". It matches the Rfam family "Bacterial small subunit ribosomal RNA", at positions 524 to 776 of the family's 1533-position model. The record is from RNAcentral.